RNAcentral lists this unclassified non-coding RNA (375 nucleotides) under soil metagenome. Its description in RNAcentral is "partial contains 5.8S ribosomal RNA, internal transcribed spacer 2, and large subunit ribosomal RNA". The stretch from base 1 to 120 matches the Rfam family "5.8S ribosomal RNA", at positions 35 to 154 of the family's 154-position model. The record is from RNAcentral.
GAUGAAGAACGCAGCGAAAUGCGAUAAGUAAUGUGAAUUGCAGAAUUCAGUGAAUCAUCGAAUCUUUGAACGCAUCUUGCGCUCCUUGGUAUUCUGAGGAGCAUGCCUGUUUGAGUGUCAUUAAAUUCUCAACUACACUGACUUUGAAUUGGUGUGGCUUGGAUUUGGGGGGAAAAUUGUUGUGGGCUUUUUGUAUAGUCUGCUCCCCUGAAAUUGAUUAGCGGUACCUUUGUGGAACUGUCUACAGGUGUGAUAAUUAUCUACAUCUUAGACAUCUGCUGGAAUGCUGCUUUCUAAACCUUACUUGUAUUGACAAUCUUGACCUCAAAUCAGGUAGGACUACCCGCUGAACUUAAGCAUACAAUAAGCGGAGGA